This is a non-coding RNA of Glycine max (soybean), 79 nucleotides long. NCBI's taxonomy places the organism in Eukaryota, Viridiplantae, Streptophyta, Magnoliopsida, Fabales, Fabaceae. The record is from Rfam.
UUUUUAUUGGAUGAUGAUUGUCACGUGUUAUGUUCUGAUUGGUUGGAUGUCACAACAUGACACGUGACCGUCAACAUUA